AAUAUAGGCAAAUCUAGCGAAAGCUGGAGACGCAAAGCUUAAGAAUCUAAAGCGGGAAACCCUGCCAUGAUCGUCUGGCUGC
RNAcentral lists this non-coding RNA (82 nucleotides) under human gut metagenome. Its description in RNAcentral is "Cyclic di-GMP-I riboswitch". It matches the Rfam family "c-di-GMP-I riboswitch aptamer", at positions 6 to 83 of the family's 87-position model. From Rfam's summary of the family: GEMM was predicted in a large-scale screen for bacterial structured RNA regulatory elements. Genes associated with GEMM are involved in a diverse array of functions, including chemotaxis regulation, signal transduction, secretion and chitin. The record is from RNAcentral.